CUCGGGCUACCCGCCUGACCACUGACCAGAUUCCCGCCUCGCCGCUGACCGGCUCGCGCACCAGCCAAGCGACGCCCGCCGGCCCCCCACUGACCUUGUAGCCGCCCCAGACGAACAUGUGGCGCCCGUCGCUGACGGCUACGUGGCCGCUGCGCUCGGCUGGGCAGGCGAGCUCCAUGGAUUCAUAGCUCUCAAAAGCUGGCCCUGGCAAGUCAUCCGCCCGCAGAUCCUCGUUGCCAUCAGCCAUCUUGAGGCUGCACUUUCGUGCACCAAGAAUGUCCACACUUGUGAGCGGUGAGGAGACAAAGAAAAAGGAAAGAAAUGCACAGCGGCGCGUAGCCAGGAGAAGGCGGCGGCGAUGACAGGCGCGGCGCGCGGGCCUGCUGGCCGCCAGUGCUGUGCCUCCCGCCCAGCUCUGCCGAGCUCAGCGCUCCACGGACGCGGCGCCCCUGCGGGCAGUGGGUCGGGGGCGAGGGACGGCGGCGGGGCCCAGGACCCGAGCAGCGCGGGGAGGGCUGCCCACUCGGCCGGCUAGCUCUCGCAGCCUUGCGCCCCGCCUCCAGCAGCCCAGGGCCCUUGUUUACGCCGCGGCCGGAAGCCGCCCGUUCCGCUGACGCGGCUCGCCGGGCUCCAGAAUUGCGGCCGCGCUCAGCGCCCCCAGCGCCGAGUCCUCCCGCCGCCGCGAUUGCCGCAGCCCGCCUUGCUGCCCCAGGCCUGGGCCUGGACGCCCGCGUGGCCCGGCGAGGUCCAGGCACGCUCCGAGUCCCCUACUUUGAAGCAACUGCAAAGAUAUGCUGAGGUUUAAUCAGAUUGGAGCAUUCCUUUUUCUUUGGGGAAGUUUCUCCUUUCUGACUGAGGGAUGUUUUCUAAGGGUUCACAGCCUGGACAAGGCACCGAAAUUGCUCAACAGGUCUCAUUAAAUUGCUGAGGGAUCCUUCUGCCACAGCUUCCUGAACUUCUGGGAUUGCAGGUACACAAUCAAGGGACAAAGAGGAUGAUCUCAAUAGAGACAUGCUUUUGGAGAAAAGCAUGGAAACUUCAAGGAAGAAUGUGGGCCAUCUCAAGAGUGAGAGAUGUCUUUUUAUAAAGAUUCCCAGCCCUUAAGCGAAAUAAGCCAAUCCCAAAGAACCAAAGGCCAAAUGUUUUCUCUGAUAUGUGGAUGCUAAUUCACAAUAAAGCAGUUGUGUGGGUGUGUGCAUGCAUGUGUGAGUGUGUGUGUGGAAA
Molecule: long non-coding RNA, 1224 nt
Organism: Sciurus carolinensis (gray squirrel)
Lineage: Eukaryota; Metazoa; Chordata; Mammalia; Rodentia; Sciuridae
Exons: 3
Source: RefSeq, a predicted model, not a curated record